UGAAUACGAGACGCUAAGGCGUCGAAGUAGUGUAUGUCAUGCUUCCAAGAAAAGCUUGCACUGUCAUAAGUAAAAAAUGCCUGUACCAUAACCGACACAGGUGGGUAGGUAGAGUAUACUAAGGGGCGCGAGAUAACUCUCUCUAAGGAACUCGGCAAAAUAACUCCGUAACUUCGGGAGAAGGAGUACCUUAUUCUAUAAGGUUGCAAUAACAAGAUCCAAGCAACUGUUUAUCAAAAACACAGGUCUCCGCUAAGUCGUAAGACGAUGUAUGGGGGCUGACGCCUGCCCAGUGCCAGAAGGUUAAAGAAGUCGGUUAGCAUUAGCGAAGCUGGUAACUGAAGCCCUGGUGAACGGCGGCCGUAACUAUAACGGUCCUAAGGUAGCGAAAUUCCUUGUCGGGUAAGUUCCGACCCGCACGAAAGGCGUAAUGAUUUGGAUACUGUCUCGGAGAGGGGCUCGGUGAAAUAGACUUGUCUGUGAAGAUGCGGACUACCUGCACCAGGACAGAAAGACCCUAUGAAGCUUUACUGUAACUUGAAAUUGAAAUUGGACUUUAUUCGCGCAGUAUAGGUGGGAGGUGUUGAUUAUAAUCUUGCGGGAUUAUUGGAGCCAUCAGUGAGAUACCACUCUUGUAAUGUUAGAUUCUAACUUUGAAUCAUUAUCUGGUCAAAGGACAGUUUCAGGCGGGCAGUUUGACUGGGGCGGUCGCCUCCCAAACGGUAGCGGAGGCGUACAAAGGUUUCCUCUGAACGGGUAGAAAUCGUAUCUAGAGUGUAAAGGCAUAAGGAAGCUUGACUGUGAGACCUACAAGUCGAACAGGGACGAAAGUCGGUCUUAGUGAUCUGACGGUACUGAGUGGAAAGGCCGUCACUCAACGGAUAAAAGUUACUCUAAGGAUAACAGGCUGAUCUCCCCCAAGAGUUCACAUCGACGGGGAGUUUGGCACCUUGAUGUCGGCUCAUCGCAUCCUGGGGCGGUAGUACGUCCCAAGGGUUGGGCUGUUCGCCCAUGAAAGCGGUACGCGAGCUGGGUUCAGAACGUCGUGAGACAGUUCGGUCCAUAUCCGGUGUAGGCGUUAGAAUAUUGAGAGGAGCCUUCUUUAGUACGAGAGGACCGAGAAGGACAUACCUCUGGUGUACCAGUUAUCGUGCCAACGGUAAACGCUGGGUAGCUAUGUAUGGAGUGGAUAACCGCUGAAAGCAUCUAAGUGGGAAGCCCACCUCAAGAUAAGUAUUCUCAC
RNAcentral lists this ribosomal RNA (1243 nucleotides) under metagenome. Its description in RNAcentral is "bacterial LSU rRNA". It matches the Rfam family "Bacterial large subunit ribosomal RNA", at positions 1564 to 2817 of the family's 2925-position model. The record is from RNAcentral.